GUGCUUAACACAUGCAAGUCGAACGGGUGUAGCAAUACACUCGUGGCGAACGGGUGCGUAACACGUGGACAACCUUCCUUCAGGUGGGGAAUAACCCAGCGAAAGUUGGGCUAAUACCGCAUAACAAAGCGAUGGCACAUGCUGCUGCUUUCAAAGCCGCAAGGCGCCAGAAGAGGGGUCCGCGGCCGAUUAGCUAGUUGGCGAGGUAACGGCUCACCAAGGCAAAGAUCGGUAGCCGGUCUGAGAGGAUGAUCGGCCACACUGGAACUGAGACACGGUCCAG
Molecule: ribosomal RNA, 283 nt
Filed under: uncultured bacterium
Lineage: Bacteria
Description: partial 16S ribosomal RNA
Rfam family: Bacterial small subunit ribosomal RNA
Source: RNAcentral